RNAcentral lists this non-coding RNA (24 nucleotides) under Cricetulus griseus (Chinese hamster). The record is from RNAcentral. Lineage: Eukaryota; Metazoa; Chordata; Mammalia; Rodentia; Cricetidae.
GCCGGAAGAGAAGGAACAGAAGAA